This 501-nucleotide ribosomal RNA is filed under the name uncultured bacterium. RNAcentral's name for it is "partial 16S ribosomal RNA". It matches the Rfam family "Bacterial small subunit ribosomal RNA", at positions 28 to 523 of the family's 1533-position model. The record is from RNAcentral.
GUUGAACGCUAGCGCCAGGCUUAACACAUGCAAGUCGAGCGGAGAUGAGGUGCUUGCGCCUUAUCUUAGCGGCAGACGGGCGAGUGAUGCUUAGGAGUCUGCCUCUUAGUGAGGGACAGCAUUCCGAAAGUAAUGCUAAUACCGCUGCCGUCCUACGGGCACAACCAGGGGAACUUCGGACCUGGCGCUAAUAGAUAACCCAAAGUCGGAUUAGCUAGUUGGUGGGGUAAAGGCAUACCAAGGCGACGGUCUGUAGCGGGUCUGAGAGGAUGAUCCGGCACACUGGGACUGAGACACGGCCCAGACUGCUACGGGAGGCAGCAGUGGGGAAUAUUGGACAAUGGGGGAAACCCUGAUCCAGCCAUGCCGCGUGUGUGAAGAAGGCCUUAUGGUUGUAAAGCACUUUAAGCGAGGAGGAGGCUACUGAGACUAAUACUCUUGGAUAGUGGACGUUACUCGCAGAAUAAGCACCGGCUAACUCUGUGCCAGCCGCCGCGGUAA